This 482-nucleotide ribosomal RNA is filed under the name uncultured bacterium. RNAcentral's name for it is "bacterial SSU rRNA". It matches the Rfam family "Bacterial small subunit ribosomal RNA", at positions 30 to 506 of the family's 1533-position model. The record is from RNAcentral.
AUUGAAUGCUGGCGGCAUGCCUUACACAUGCAAGUCGAACGGCAGCACGGGAGCAAUCCUGGUGGCGAGUGGCGAACGGGUGAGUAAUAUAUCGGAACGUGCCCAGUCGUGGGGAUAACGUAGCGAAAGCUACGCUAAUACCGCAUACGAUCUAUGGAUGAAAGCGGGGGAUCGCAAGACCUCGCGCGAUUGGAGCGGCCGAUAUCAGAUUAGGUAGUUGGUGAGGUAAAGGCUCACCAAGCCAACGAUCUGUAGCUGGUCUGAGAGGACGACCAGCCACACUGGAACUGAGACACGGUCCAGACUCCUACGGGAGGCAGCAGUGGGGAAUUUUUGGACAAUGGACGCAAGUCUGAUCCAGCCAUUCCGCGUGCAGGAUGAAGGCCCUCGGGUUGUAAACUGCUUUUGUACGGAACGAAAGGUUUGUCUUAAUACGAUGAGCUCAUGACGGUACCGUAAGAAUAAGCACCGGCUAACUACGU